AUAUGUUAAGUGGAAAAGGAUGUGGCGUUGCCCAGACAACUAGGAUGUUGGCUUAGAAGCAGCCAUCAUUUAAAGAGUGCGUAAUAGCUCACUAGUCGAGUGACACUGCGCCGAAAAUGUACCGGGGCUAAACAUAUUACCGAAGCUGUGGAUUGUCCUUUGGACAAUGGUAGGAGAGCGUUCUAAGGGCGUUGAAGCAUGAUCGUAAGGACAUGUGGAGCGCUUAGAAGUGAGAAUGCCGGUGUGAGUAGCGAAAGACGGGUGAGAAUCCCGUCCACCGAUUGACUAAGGUUUCCAGAGGAAGGCUCGUCCGCUCUGGGUUAGUCGGGUCCUAAGCUGAGGCCGACAGGCGUAGGCGAUGGAUAACAGGUUGAUAUUCCUGUACCACCUAUAAUCGUUUUAAUCGAUGGGGGGACGCAGUAGGAUAGGCGAAGCGUGCGAUUGGAUUGCACGUCUAAGCAGUAAGGCUGAGUAUUAGGCAAAUCCGGUACUCGUUAAGGCUGAGCUGUGAUGGGGAGAAGACAUUGUGUCUUCGAGUCGUUGAUUUCACACUGCCGAGAAAAGCCUCUAGAUAGAAAAUAGGUGCCCGUACCGCAAACCGACACAGGUAGUCAAGAUGAGAAUUCUAAGGUGAGCGAGCGAACUCUCGUUAAGGAACUCGGCAAAAUGACCCCGUAACUUCGGGAGAAGGGGUGCUCUUUAGGGUUAACGCCCAGAAGAGCCGCAGUGAAUAGGCCCAAGCGACUGUUUAUCAAAAACACAGGUCUCUGCUAAACCGUAAGGUGAUGUAUAGGGGCUGACGCCUGCCCGGUGCUGGAAGGUUAAGAGGAGUGGUUAGCUUCUGCGAAGCUACGAAUCGAAGCCCCAGUAAACGGCGGCCGUAACUAUAACGGUCCUAAGGUAGCGAAAUUCCUUGUCGGGUAAGUUCCGACCCGCACGAAAGGCGUAACGAUUUGGGCACUGUCUCAACGAGAGACUCGGUGAAAUCAUAGUACCUGUGAAGAUGCAGGUUACCCGCGACAGGACGGAAAGACCCCGUGGAGCUUUACUGUAGCCUGAUAUUGAAAUUCGGCACAGCUUGUACAGGAUAGGUAGGAGCCUUUGAAACGUGAGCGCUAGCUUACGUGGAGGCGCUGGUGGGAUACUACCCUAGCUGUGUUGGCUUUCUAACCCGCACCACUUA
This 1183-nucleotide ribosomal RNA is filed under the name Staphylococcus aureus. Its description in RNAcentral is "partial 23S ribosomal RNA". It matches the Rfam family "Bacterial large subunit ribosomal RNA", at positions 1054 to 2238 of the family's 2925-position model. The record is from RNAcentral. Lineage: Bacteria; Bacillati; Bacillota; Bacilli; Caryophanales; Staphylococcaceae.